GUAGCUGAAGGUACAGUAUGAAUAAGCACCGGGCUAACUCCGUGCCAGCAGCCGCGGUAAUACGGAGGGGUGCAAGCGUUAUCCGGAUUUAUUGGGUUUAAAGGGUCCGUUGGCGGACUCGUAAGUCAGUGGUGAAAUCUCAUAGCUUAACUAUGAAACUGCCAUUGAUACUGCGGGUCUUGAGUAAAGUAGAAGUGGCUGGAAUAAGUAGUGUAGCGGUGAAAUGCAUAGUUAUUACUUAGAACACCAAUUGCGAAGGCAGGUCACUAUGUUUUAACUGACGCUGAUGGACGAAAGCGUGGGGAGCGAACAGGAUUAGAUACCCUGGUAGUCCACGCCGUAAACGAUGCUAACUCGUUUUUGGGACUUCGGUUUCAGAGACUAAGCGAAAGUGAUAAGUUAGCCACCUGGGGAGUACGUUCGCAAGAAUGAAACUCAAAGGAAUUGACGGGGGCCCGCACAAGCGGUGGAUUAUGUGGUUUAAUUCGAUGAUACGCGAGGAACCUUACCAAGGCUUAAAUGGGAAUUGAUGGGUUUAGAAAUAGUUCGUCCUUCGGGCAAUUUUCAAGGUGCUGCAUGGUUGUCGUCAGCUCGUGCCGUGAGGUGUUAGGUUAAGUCCUGCAACGAGCGCAACCCCUGUCACUAGUUGCCAUCAUUAAGUUGGGGACUCUAGUGAGACUGCCUACGCAAGUAGAGAGGAAGGUGGGGAUGACGUCAAAUCAUCACGGCCCUUACGCCUUGGGCCACACACGUAAUACAAUGGCCGGUACAGAGGGCAGCUACACAGCGAUGUGAUGCGAAUCUCGAAAGCCGGUCUCAGUUCGGAUUGGAGUCUGCAACUCGACUCUAUGAAGCUGGAAUCGCUAGUAAUCGCGCAUCAGCCAUGGCGCGGUGAAUACGUUCCCGGGCCUUGUACACACCGCCCGUCAAGCCAUGGAAGUCUGGGGUACCUGAAGUUCG
RNAcentral lists this ribosomal RNA (960 nucleotides) under Chryseobacterium sp. FyFern_55. Its description in RNAcentral is "bacterial SSU rRNA". It matches the Rfam family "Bacterial small subunit ribosomal RNA", at positions 465 to 1430 of the family's 1533-position model. Lineage: Bacteria; Pseudomonadati; Bacteroidota; Flavobacteriia; Flavobacteriales; Weeksellaceae. The record is from RNAcentral.